This 3767-nucleotide long non-coding RNA is filed under the name Canis lupus familiaris (dog). RNAcentral's name for it is "lncRNA (ENSCAFG00845019722.1)". Lineage: Eukaryota; Metazoa; Chordata; Mammalia; Carnivora; Canidae. The record is from RNAcentral.
UUUUUUUUUUUUUUUAAAGAAAAGAAACAUACCAGACUAUUGCUGUAAAACUAUUUGGCUAUUUAUAUUAUUUAUUCUGGUUUGUGGGGGUACUGUUUUGUUUUGUAACCUUUAAACGGGGCAGGAGAAGGGCAGAUUCCAAAUGGAGGCGGACAGCUCAAAGGCUACUGCUCUUGGUUUUGAGUUAACCUGAGUUAUUCUGGGCCACACUUUCCAGAACCCCUACUUCGGUCUGAGCAGCCUCCCCCAGCUAAUCACAAUCCCACAAGUCCAAGACAGCGGAGGCCAGGCCAGCCCCCACGGGUUAUCCAGGGCACCUCUGGUAGGUUUCCCAGGCCUCCUUGCUCUAUCUGUCAUACCAGAAGCUUAUCUGGCAGGACCCUGGGCAUGUGCAGUGGAACUGUAAUGAGGCCUGACUUCCACCAAGGACAGAACCUUCCUGCCCAGCUUAUUGGCGGCUCCUGCCACUUGCUUAGCACCUCCUGAAGCAGUGUCUUUAUGAAACACGAAUUAAAGUCCACUAGUGCCAGGGGAUGACAGGACCAGGCCCUGUGGAUGUGGUCACUGGCCUGAAGGAGGUGAGCAUCCAGCCUGGUUACGGGACACCUGCAAGCCCUGGUUCUUCAAAACUUGAAUGCAAGGAUGUGGUCCACACUGCACUCCACUUCAUCCCUGGCCCCGGAAAUUCUCUGCUCCUGGAUGUUGCAGGGUUCUUUUUUUCCUCUUCAUUUCUUAGUCCUACGUUUUCAUGUAGCAAAUCUCUUCAUUUAUGGUAUAAAUGAAACGCUCAGGUUAAUUCUAGCAGUUUGAAGCUGGGUCCACUGCAGAAGAAGACUGUUGCUAUACCUGUGAGAUUAAACUAUUUUCAAAAAUGAAACCAUUCAUAUGGUAUUCCCCUGGGCUGGCAAUUACUGCCAUCUUCCUUUGAAUAGAGAGUACUACGAAAUGAGUUCUCUGCCAGAAGCCAAAAACCCUCAGAAGAGUCAGAUUUAAGAGCCUCCUUGCCCCUUCUCCCUAGUGGUGGGGGUGUGGUAUUUAGUACAAGGUCAAUUAGACCUGAAUUCAAACCUAAUUCUGCUACUUACUCAGCUGUGUGGCCUUGGCCAAGUCACUAAACAUUUCUGAGGCUGCGUUCUCAUCCUGAACAUAACAAUACUAUCUACCUCAAAGAGUAGUUAUGGAUAUUAAGCAAGAGAGCCAGUAUUAAGCACCUAGGAAAAAAAAUGAAAGCAUCAACCUUUUUUGUGCUUAUUCUGGACCGGGUACUUGUCAGUGCAUUACAUUUUUUUUUUAAUUCAUUUCACUCUCAUUGUAAUAUUAUUACCUCUAUUUUAUAAUUGUUAAACUGAGGUAUGCAAUAAGUAAUUUGCUCCAAGUCGCACAGGUAUUAAGUGCCAGAGACAGGCUAUAAGCCCAGGGCAGCCUGACUCAGUGAGGCUUCUUAACCUCAGGGUUUUCUCCUCAUCUCCCUACCCUAAAGAGGUGCUGACAUUCAUGCAGGAUUAGCCACUCCUGCAUGCCAAUUAAAUUGCAUAUGCAUAUUUAGGUAGGUUCCUUUUACUGUAAUUUUGGUCAAGUACAGAACAGGUCUGCCCUCAGCUUCCACAUCUAUAAAAAGAGGAUAUUAACAGUUUUCCUUCACAGCAUGAUUGCUAGAAAUAGAUGAGUUAAAUCGAGGUAAAGGGCUGAACAGAGUGCUUGGCAUUUACAACAGGCCCCAUGUAGGAAGUGCCUUUAUCAUCCAAAGUCCUGAACAAUGCGAUGUAAUAGCAGAAUUCACUUGGUAAAGGAGAUUUUGUACCUGGCUAUCCUUGUUCUCUGGCAAAUGUAUGGCAUUUAAAAAUAGACCGAAGGUCUUAUUUAAUCAAUAAGUAAUCAGGUCCACAGGAUUCUGGUUAGAAAGAAAUUAGGCCAGGCUGAAAUGAAAUUAGACCAAAAAUAAGAAUUUUAAUAAUUAAAAGGAAAACAUCAGAGCAGUCUUUCUGGAGGGUGCCUUCAGAUUAUGAAUUGUACUGUACCCAUUGGACAAAUGCUAUGGCUACUGGGCACGGAGCUUGUGAAAAAUUUAUGGCCUGGUAAAAAUCUUUGGGUGAUAUAGGUUAAAACAACUUUAUCCCCACUGCCAUUGAAUACCAUGAAUUCUAGAAGCAAAAAAGGGCAGCUUUUGUGAACAUGUUGGACAUAAAACAAUACACCACAUUAAAGGAAAAGCUGGACAGCAGAUAGACAAACUAGCUCAUGUGAGCACUCCAGCAAUAAUUUUUAGGGCUUUGUAUUUACUUCUCUUGCACAUUUAGAUUUGCAAUGAAAAGCAAAAGAAAGAAAGAGCAACACUCCUUACUUUAGCUGUCUUUACAUGUUACAUUCAGAUAGAAAACAGAAUUUCACUGCUCAGAUUUGGAGGGAAGGGGGAGCUCAUCUUAUUUCACGUCUGUAGCUGCUGCCACAGCCACAGCACCAUGUUCCAAUCAUGGAAUUCAUAAUGUAAAUCUCUUGCAGAUGAUACCACUGGAAAACAGAAACUGCCAUGGAUCCAGAAACACAUCCAAAUUUCUGUAAAGUUCUUAUCUGAGAGCCCAGAGGCUGGUAUUCAGUGUUUUUCGUUCAGUGAGUGAGGCCCAUUGGGAAAUCUACAUUCUUUGGGAGACUUAAGAAGAACUUUCAACCAUUCUUUGACUAUACAAAUACCUGCUAUCCCUUCUUCCACAUGUGACAAUGCUGAACAUUUCACAACUGCCCCAACUUAUCUCUUGAACGUUUAAAUCUAUACUGAAAAGGGUUUGUGUCACACACAUACAGUCUAGCUUAUUCUUUAACUGUCAAUCAGAGCCCAUACAAAUUACAGGUGGUGUCAAAGAGAAGACCUCUAGAACCGUCCAGAAAAAAAAGGAGAAGUUGCAUUUCUUGGUUGUUAGACACAAGAUCUUUCCUAAGUUAGAACAUUAUAGGGAAUCUUUUAAAUCACCUUAGGGAUACCCCUGGGGCAUCAUCACAGCUUCACGUUGAGCCUUUUGUCUCCCUGUGAUGUGGGGGGGGGGGGGGGGGGGAGUCUCCAAGACUGGCUUUGCUAUUCAAAUACAGACAUCUGCUGCACUCCUAAUUCCUCCUUCUCUUUAAAAGGCAGCACCCCCAAGAAACUCUUGAAUAUUGUGAGGCCUAAAAGUUGGGGGUGGGGAGGAAAUCUUUGUCUCCCUAACACAUUCAUCAAUUCCCUCCUCCUUCCCAGCACCUCCCUCCCCAGAACCCCCUACACCCUCAGGACACAUAAGCAGCGACUCCCCCAAAUACACAAGGGCUGGAAAGAUUCAUGUUGCAAUACCCUCCUGACAUUCCUCUUCCCGCCCUCAUUUUAAUUCACUCACUUUUCUUUUUUUUUUUUUUCUUUUUAAACAAAAUGUAAUUACUUGACUGUCAGCCUGGGCUGCACUCUGGGGCUUUUACUCUUUUCAACACAGCUGCGCUUCGGGCUUUGAUGCUGCUGUCCACGCAGCUUGUCCCAGCCACAGCCUGGCUCUCGGUAAUUCAACAUUCAAGUGCAUAUUUAUUUUUAAACUGACCUCUCCUAGACUGUACAGUAUAAAGGAGGUCCUGCCAAAAAAUAUGCUACUUUCUAUUUAUAAGAUGAAACACAUGCCUCCCAAAGUCGAGAGGAGGAUGGAGUACAAUAAUUCAUAACAAAAAAAUGACUGGCCAGAUCCAUUCGUCCUCACAUGUCUGAUACUUGUCUGUGUCAAGACAGUUUCAAGGAGAAAGAAAAAAAAAAAAAA